UUUAGGGUCUGGAACUGAUUUACUCAGAAAUAUUCAGGGAGUUCUUUCUUCAUUUUAGUGAUUUUCUCUUAAGGGUCUUCUUCAAUUUUCAGAAAUGGAGAUGGAAUAAUAGUUCCUGCUGCAGAUGAAGAGGUAUAAGCUGCUCCAGAGGCUACUAAGAAAGUAAUUUGAAAUUGUAAUGAAUUCCUAUUCUCUGUUAAAUCAGCGGGUAUUUGAAAUUGCAAUUCUCUUUGUGAAGGAA
This is a long non-coding RNA of Papaver somniferum (opium poppy), 241 nucleotides long. RefSeq lists it as uncharacterized. The record is from RefSeq and is a predicted model, not a curated record. The transcript is spliced from 2 exons. NCBI's taxonomy places the organism in Eukaryota, Viridiplantae, Streptophyta, Magnoliopsida, Ranunculales, Papaveraceae.